UGUGAGCCGCGGGCUAGGCUGGUCUUUGGUGUCUGCCUUUCAGAUGGUUGGCGCCAUAAGAGGGCCACGUGUGGGCAGGAAGAAGCAAAAGGCAGCUUAGUGAAUUGGAGACAACUGGAGGUGGUUUAUAAGGAUGGAGUGCAAAGGAAAUGCCCUUGCUGGGUUGUGGAGGUCAAGGAAAUGCUUGGCUCAUUACAGAAGUCAGCAGGGGUUUCCUCUUCUCUAAUCUUUGGAAGACCUUGAG
Balaenoptera ricei (Rice's whale) is the source of this 244-nucleotide long non-coding RNA. RefSeq lists it as uncharacterized. The transcript is spliced from 3 exons. Lineage: Eukaryota; Metazoa; Chordata; Mammalia; Artiodactyla; Balaenopteridae. The record is from RefSeq and is a predicted model, not a curated record.